GCCGCCGUCUCGUCCCUCCCCAGCGCGUCGCGUUUCACUAGCGCAGAAUGUGAGGUCUUGGUCCUCGGCGCUGUCUCCCUCCAGGUAAUCUUUCUCCUCUUGGUCAGUGAGCGCCUCCAUUCUCCACUCUCACGUUCAAGUGUUUUCCGCUUUUCAAACUCAUGCAAACUGUUACACACUGGACGUUUGGGGGCUCCUGGACUCAGAAAACUAUACAUCAGUGAACGAAAAAUAAGUCACUGCCUCUAUUUACGACGAAACAUGAAAUGAAGAUUAUUUACUGUGCCAAA
This is a long non-coding RNA of Balaenoptera ricei (Rice's whale), 290 nucleotides long. RefSeq lists it as uncharacterized. Lineage: Eukaryota; Metazoa; Chordata; Mammalia; Artiodactyla; Balaenopteridae. The transcript is spliced from 2 exons. The record is from RefSeq and is a predicted model, not a curated record.